GCCCCCGCCCUCUGUGUCUGCCACAGGGCCCGGGCCUGGCCCUGGCCCUGGCCCUGGUCCUGGCCCAGGACCAG
Molecule: microRNA precursor, 74 nt
Organism: Cavia aperea (Brazilian guinea pig)
Lineage: Eukaryota; Metazoa; Chordata; Mammalia; Rodentia; Caviidae
Source: Ensembl